UAUGUACUCCCUCCGUCCUAAAAUUCUUGUCUUAAAUUUGUAGUUAGAUACAUCCGUAUCUAGACAAAUUGUAUCUAGAAUUAUCUAGACAAAUUCUAGAUACAUCCGUAUCUAGACAAAUUUAAGACAAGAAUUUUGGGACGGAGGGAGUAGCAC
Non-coding RNA from Triticum aestivum (bread wheat), 156 nucleotides. NCBI's taxonomy places the organism in Eukaryota, Viridiplantae, Streptophyta, Magnoliopsida, Poales, Poaceae. The record is from Rfam.